RNAcentral lists this ribosomal RNA (257 nucleotides) under uncultured bacterium. RNAcentral describes it as "partial 16S ribosomal RNA". It matches the Rfam family "Bacterial small subunit ribosomal RNA", at positions 524 to 776 of the family's 1533-position model. The record is from RNAcentral.
UACGAGGGGGGCGAGCGUCGUCCGAAUUUAUUGGGCGUAAAGCGCGUGUAGGCGGGACGGUCAAGCCUGGGGUCGAAAGGUUGGGGCUCAACCCCAGUACAGUGCCCUGGGGACUGGUCGUCUGGAGGCAGGCAGAGGAGUGUGGAAUUCCUGGUGUAGCGGUGGAAUGCGUAGAGAUCAGGAAGAACACCCGUGGCGAAGGCGGCUCUCUGGGACGGUACUGACGCUGAGACGCGAAAGCGUGGGGAGCGAACAGG